RNAcentral lists this ribosomal RNA (921 nucleotides) under uncultured bacterium. RNAcentral's name for it is "bacterial SSU rRNA". It matches the Rfam family "Bacterial small subunit ribosomal RNA", at positions 9 to 916 of the family's 1533-position model. The record is from RNAcentral.
GAGUUUGAUCCUGGCUCAGGAUGAACGCUAGCGACAGGCUUAACACAUGCAAGUCGAGGGGCAGCGGGGGAGUAGCAAUACUCCCGCCGGCGACCGGCGCACGGGUGAGUAACACGUAUGAAACCUGCCCGUAGCAGGGGGAUAAGCGGAAGAAAUUCCGUCUAAUACCGCGUAACAACCCUUGGAGGCAUCUCCCCGGGGUUUAAAGGAAGCGAUUCCGGCUACGGAUGGUCAUGCGUCGCAUUAGCUAGUUGGCGGGGUAACGGCCCACCAAGGCGACGAUGCGUAGGGGUUCUGAGAGGAAGGUCCCCCACACUGGUACUGAGACACGGACCAGACUCCUACGGGAGGCAGCAGUGAGGAAUAUUGGUCAAUGGCCGCAGGGCUGAACCAGCCAAGUCGCGUGAGGGAUGACGGUCCUAUGGAUUGUAAACCUCUUUUGUCAGGGAGCAAAGGACGCCACGUGUGGCGUUUUGCGAGUACCUGAAGAAAAAGCAUCGGCUAACUCCGUGCCAGCAGCCGCGGUAAUACGGAGGAUGCGAGCGUUAUCCGGAUUUAUUGGGUUUAAAGGGUGCGCAGGCGGAAUGUCAAGUCAGCGGUAAAAUUUCGGGGCUCAACCCCGUCGUGCCGUUGAAACUGGCGUUCUUGAGUGAGCGAGAAGUAUGCGGAAUGCGUGGUGUAGCGGUGAAAUGCAUAGAUAUCACGCAGAACUCCGAUUGCGAAGGCAGCAUACCGGCGCUCAACUGACGCUCAUGCACGAAAGCGUGGGUAUCGAACAGGAUUAGAUACCCUGGUAGUCCACGCAGUAAACGAUGAAUACUAACUGUCCGGGCCGAUUGAGGUCUGGGUGGUACAGCGAAAGCGUUAAGUAUUCCACCUGGGGAGUACGCCGGCAACGGUGAAACUCAAAGGAAUUGACGG